RNAcentral lists this ribosomal RNA (408 nucleotides) under uncultured bacterium. RNAcentral describes it as "bacterial SSU rRNA". It matches the Rfam family "Bacterial small subunit ribosomal RNA", at positions 369 to 774 of the family's 1533-position model. The record is from RNAcentral.
CAAUGGGGGCAACCCUGAACCAGCCAAGUCGCGUGAAGGAUGAAGGUCUUAUGGAUUGUAAACUUCUUUUAUACGGGAAUAAAGUGGGGGACGUGUCCCCCUUUGCAUGUACCGUAUGAAUAAGGAUCGGCUAACUCCGUGCCAGCAGCCGCGGUAAUACGGAGGAUCCGAGCGUUAUCCGGAUCUAUUGGGUUUAAAGGGUGCGCAGGCGGGAUGUUAAGUCGGCGGUGAAAUUUUGCAGCUCAACUGUAAAAGUGCCAUCGAUACUGGCCUCCUUGAGUGUGGAUGAAGUAGGCGGAAUUUGUGGUGUAGCGGUGAAAUGCUUAGAUAGCACGAGGAACUCCGAUUGCGCAGGCAGCUUACUAAACCACAACUGACGCUCAUGCACGAAGGCGUGGGGAUCAAACA